This is a long non-coding RNA of Brassica oleracea var. oleracea, 353 nucleotides long. RefSeq lists it as uncharacterized. Lineage: Eukaryota; Viridiplantae; Streptophyta; Magnoliopsida; Brassicales; Brassicaceae. The record is from RefSeq and is a predicted model, not a curated record. The transcript is spliced from 2 exons.
CCAUUCAAAGAAUAGCUAUGUCAAAGUUUCAACUUGCUGCCCUUGUCAUCUCAUGUUUUCUCCUGUAUGCUUCUCAAUCAAAGGUGAUAGCAUUGAACUUGAACACAAAACAAAUCGGAUAUGAAGACGAGUGUAUCUACAGAGGCUCGUGCAGGUUCAGCUACGAAUGUAAGAGUCGAUGUGGACCGCCUGAGUUCCCACAUGGAACUCUUGGUUUAUGCAUGCUCAGUCCAGAUGGUUCUAAAUAUCUUUGUUGUUGUACUCCCUAUACUAAACAUUAGUUGUAACUUUGGUUAGAUUAUUAUCAUAUAAAAUUUAAAGGAAAAAUGAAUUGAAAAACAUAAACUCUUUAU